AAGUUUUGGUCCUAAACUUGCCAUUGUUUUUUAUCAAAAUUAUACAUGCAAGCCUCCACGAACCAGUGAGAAUGCCCACAUAUUCCCAAACAGCCCACCGGAGCAGGCAUCAGGACACAACAAAGCUUUUGGCCGAAGACGCCUUGUACACACCACACCCACACGGGCUUUCAGCAGUAAUUAACAUUAAAACAUGAGCGAAAGCUCGACUUAGUCAUGAUCUAGAAGGUCGGUAAAUUUCGUGCCAGCCACCGCGGUUAUACGAAAGACCAAAAACAAUGACUCACGGCGUAAGGCGUGACUAGAGGAAUACAAACAUUAAAGGAGAACACCUGCCAAGUCGUAAAACACUACUGCACACUAGAACAGCAACAACAAAGCGCCUUUAACCCACUUCACCUCACGAAAGCCAAGAAACAAACUGGGAUUAGAUACCCCACUAUGCUUGGCCCUAAACACAGAUAGCACAAACACAAUGCUAUCCGCCAGAGAACUACAAGCGAAAAGCUAAAAACUCUAAGGACUUGGCGGUGCUUCAAAUCUACCUAGAGGAGCCUGUCCUACAAUCGAUACCCCACGUUUCACCCUACCCCUCCUAGCCAACCAGCCUAUAUACCGCCGUCGUCAGCCUACCUUAUGAAAGAAGCAAAGUGAGCCAAAAAGUUAAUUACUAACACGUCAGGUCAAGGUGUAGCACACGGAGCGGCAGAGAUGGGCUACAUUUUUCCGGGGGAAAAACACGAACAGUGAACUGAAACACACACUUGAAGGCGGAUUUAGUAGUAAAACAAGCAAGAAUACUUGUUUUAAACCUGCUCUGAAGCGCGCACACACCGCCCGUCACCCUCAUCA
This 852-nucleotide non-coding RNA is filed under the name Glaphyromorphus mjobergi (Atherton tableland skink). Lineage: Eukaryota; Metazoa; Chordata; Lepidosauria; Squamata; Scincidae. The record is from RNAcentral.